CACGUAGUUAGCCGUGGCUUCCUCCUCAGGUACCGUCAUUAUCGCCCCUGAAGACAGAGCUUUACAACCCGAAGGCCGUCAUCACUCACGCGGCGUUGCUGCAUCAGGGUUUCCCCCAUUGUGCAAUAUUCCCCACUGCUGCCUCCCGUAGGAGUCUGGGCCGUGUCUCAGUCCCAAUGUGGCCGAUCACCCUCUCAGGUCGGCUACGCAUCGUCGCCUUGGUGAGCCGUUACCUCACCAACUAGCUAAUGCGCCGCGGGCCCAUCUCAUAGCGGAUUGCUCCUUUAAUUGCUACUUCAUGCGAAGCUACAAUCUUAUGCGGUAUUAAUCUCCCUUUCGGAAGGCUAUUCCCCUCUAUGAGGCAGGUUGCCCAGUGUUACUCACCCGUCCGCCGCUAGCUUUGUUCCGAAGAACUCCACUCGCUCGACUUGCAUGUGUUAGGCACGCCGCCAGCGUUCGUCCGUGUAGCCACGGAGUACAAACUCU
RNAcentral lists this ribosomal RNA (486 nucleotides) under uncultured Clostridiaceae bacterium. Its description in RNAcentral is "partial 16S ribosomal RNA". Lineage: Bacteria; Bacillati; Bacillota; Clostridia; Eubacteriales; Clostridiaceae. The record is from RNAcentral.